RNAcentral lists this ribosomal RNA (301 nucleotides) under uncultured bacterium. RNAcentral's name for it is "partial 16S ribosomal RNA". It matches the Rfam family "Bacterial small subunit ribosomal RNA", at positions 509 to 807 of the family's 1533-position model. The record is from RNAcentral.
CAGUAGCCGCGGGAAUACGAGGGGGGCAAGCGUUGUUCGGAAUUAUUGGGCGUAAAGGGCGCGUAGGCGGUUUGGCAAGUUUGGUGUGAAAUCUUCGGGCUCAACUCGAAGUCUGCAUCGAAAACUGCCGGGCUUGAGUAUGGGAGAGGUGAGUGGAAUUUCCGGUGUAGCGGUGAAAUGCGUAGAUAUCGGAAGGAACACCUGUGGCGAAAGCGGCUCACUGGACCAUUACUGACGCUGAGGCGCGAAAGCUAGGGGAGCAAACAGGAUUAGAUACCCGGGUAGUCCCUGUCUCUUAUAC